Molecule: transfer RNA, 72 nt
Filed under: Camelus bactrianus (Bactrian camel)
Lineage: Eukaryota; Metazoa; Chordata; Mammalia; Artiodactyla; Camelidae
Also listed under: 2 other names
Rfam family: tRNA
About the family: Transfer RNA (tRNA) molecules are approximately 80 nucleotides in length.
Source: Rfam by way of RNAcentral
GGGUAUGUAGCUCAGUGGUAGAGUACAUGUUAAGCACACAUAAGUUCCUGAGUUCAAUCCCCAGUACCUCCA